AUGUCGCGUACAAAAUUUCUUUCUUCCACGUUGAAUUUAUUACUGACUGGACAGAGAAAAAUGCAAUCUUCCCACCGUCCCUGCAAUCUCCUAUGCCCGGUGGCGCCAUAUGCGGCCGCCGCACCCCGUCUUCAACAGCGGCCGCCGCAUCUUCUCGGAACCAAGCGCCUCCUCUCCCCUCCGCGCCGCCACUCUGAAGCCCGCCUUCUAUCCGGCAUGACCCCAAUGGCCACAUCCUCCUCCCCCACCGCGAACCCCCAGCCAUUCAAGUUGAUCCUGGGGUCUUCGUCAGUGGCCAGGAAGAACAUCCUGAACGAGAUGGGGUUCGAGUUCCAAGUCAUGACCGCGGACAUCGACGAGAGGAGCAUAAGAAGGGAGGAUCCGGAUGAGCUAGUCAUGCUUCUUGCGGAGGCCAAGGCUGAUGCUAUCAUGUCUAGAAUGAACAUUUCCGAUUACCAGAAGGAAGGCGACCAACCAACACUCCUGAUCACCUCUGACAUAGUGGUUGUCCAUGAAGGGAUUAUUAGAGAAAAGCCAAGCAGCAAAGAAGAAGCACGCCAAUUCCUGAAAGGUUAUUCUGGUGCGCAUGUGUCAACUGUGGGUGGUGUGGUUGUAACUAAUCUUACAACUGGCAAGAAGCUUGGCAGUUUAGACAAAGCUGAGGUGUACUUCCAUGACAUACCAGAUGAGAUAAUUGAGAACCUGAUCGAUGAGGGGGUAGUAUUUAGGGUUGCGGGCGGCCUGCUGCUAGAACAUCCAUUGGUGUUGCCGCUUGUUGAAGCAGUGGUUGGUUCUAGUGACAGUGUAAUGGGGCUAUCAAAGGAUCUGGCAAACAAACUCAUUCACGAGGCAUUGUUGGCAUAG
This 864-nucleotide ribosomal RNA is filed under the name Triticum aestivum (bread wheat). Its description in RNAcentral is "partial small subunit ribosomal RNA". Lineage: Eukaryota; Viridiplantae; Streptophyta; Magnoliopsida; Poales; Poaceae. The record is from RNAcentral.